GAUGAAGAACGCAGCGAAAUGCGAUAAGUAAUGUGAAUUACAGAAUUCAGUGAAUCAUCGAAUCUUUGAACGCAUCUUGCGCUCCUUGGUAUUCUGAGGAGCAUGCCUGUUUGAGUGUCAUUAACUUCUCAACUACACUGACUUUGAAUUGGUGUGGCUUGGAUUUGGGGGGAAAAUUGUUGUGGGCUUUUUGUAUAGUCUGCUCCCCUGAAAUUGAUUAGCGGUACCUUUGUGGAACUGUCUACAGGUGUGAUAAUUAUCUACAUCUUAGACAUCUGCUGGAAUGCUGCUUUCUAAACCUUACUUGUAUUGACAAUCUUGACCUCAAAUCAGGUAGGACUACCCGCUGAACUUAAGCAUAUCAAUAAGCGGAGGA
This 376-nucleotide unclassified non-coding RNA is filed under the name soil metagenome. RNAcentral describes it as "partial contains 5.8S ribosomal RNA, internal transcribed spacer 2, and large subunit ribosomal RNA". The stretch from base 1 to 120 matches the Rfam family "5.8S ribosomal RNA", at positions 35 to 154 of the family's 154-position model. The record is from RNAcentral.